This is a long non-coding RNA of Bubalus bubalis (water buffalo), 719 nucleotides long. RefSeq lists it as uncharacterized. The record is from RefSeq and is a predicted model, not a curated record. The transcript has 3 exons. Lineage: Eukaryota; Metazoa; Chordata; Mammalia; Artiodactyla; Bovidae.
GAAUGCCAGGGACAGAGGAGCCUGGCGGACUACAGUCCAUGGGGUCGCAGAGAGUCAAACAGGGCUGAGCAGCAGCAGCAUCCUGCUCACUGAUGAGCAUCUUAGGUGGGUGUUGGAAUACACUCAACACCGCUCACUCUCUGGUCAUUUCCAACAGGCAACUGGCCCAGGAGCGAGGACGGCAAGACAUGAAAGAGAUGACAGCUUGGACCCAAUGAGGUGGGAAGGGACUCAGGAUAAAUGUCACUUCCUGCUCUACCUGGCCAGGACAGCUUGGCCACUUCACACACAUACACACACAUGCGUGCGCACGUGCACGCGCAUGCGCGCGCGCACACACACACGCGGCUCUCUUCCUCCGGAGCUGGACCUGCUCCUGGCCCCUUCGCACCCCUACUUCCUGAGGCUCGGGACACAGGGAAGGUGUCAGCAAAAGUCUCCCUGCCUCAGAAGAAGCCGUGGAACCUGAUGGUCAGAGAGCGUGGCAUCGACUCAGUGCAGCCAGCUAAAGCCAGACCGCACGGAUGAGGGAGGAGAUGGCAAGAUGACAGCGGGCAAGUCCCACGAAACAGGCUGGAGGGAAAUGCACCCAGUCUGUUUCCCUCCUGCUGCUGCUGCUGCUACUGCUGCUAAGUCUCUUCAGUCGGGUCCGACUCUGUGCGACCCCAUAGACAGCAGCCCACCAGGCCCUGCCGUCCCUGGGAUUCUCCAGGCAAGAA